Molecule: ribosomal RNA, 703 nt
Filed under: Shigella sonnei
Lineage: Bacteria; Pseudomonadati; Pseudomonadota; Gammaproteobacteria; Enterobacterales; Enterobacteriaceae
Description: partial 23S ribosomal RNA
Rfam family: Bacterial large subunit ribosomal RNA
Source: RNAcentral
UGUUUGAUGUUCUAACGUGGACCCGUGAUCCGGGUUGCGGACAGUGUCUGGUGGGUAGUUUGACUGGGGCGGUCUCCUCCUAAAGAGUAACGGAGGAGCACGAAGGUUGGCUAAUCCUGGUCGGACAUCAGGAGGUUAGUGCAAUGGCAUAAGCCAGCUUGACUGCGAGCGUGACGGCGCGAGCAGGUGCGAAAGCAGGUCAUAGUGAUCCGGUGGUUCUGAAUGGAAGGGCCAUCGCUCAACGGAUAAAAGGUACUCCGGGGAUAACAGGCUGAUACCGCCCAAGAGUUCAUAUCGACGGCGGUGUUUGGCACCUCGAUGUCGGCUCAUCACAUCCUGGGGCUGAAGUAGGUCCCAAGGGUAUGGCUGUUCGCCAUUUAAAGUGGUACGCGAGCUGGGUUUAGAACGUCGUGAGACAGUUCGGUCCCUAUCUGCCGUGGGCGCUGGAGAACUGAGGGGGGCUGCUCCUAGUACGAGAGGACCGGAGUGGACGCAUCACUGGUGUUCGGGUUGUCAUGCCAAUGGCACUGCCCGGUAGCUAAAUGCGGAAGAGAUAAGUGCUGAAAGCAUCUAAGCACGAAACUUGCCCCGAGAUGAGUUCUCCCUGACCCUUUAAGGGUCCUGAAGGAACGUUGAAGACGACGACGUUGAUAGGCCGGGUGUGUAAGCGCAGCGAUGCGUUGAGCUAACCGGUACUAAUGAA